GGGGAUGUAGCUCAGUGGUAGAGCGUCCGCUUUGCAUGCGGAAGGUCCCUUGUUCGAUCCCCCGCAUCUCCA
RNAcentral lists this transfer RNA (72 nucleotides) under Nematostella vectensis (starlet sea anemone). It matches the Rfam family "tRNA". From Rfam's summary of the family: Transfer RNA (tRNA) molecules are approximately 80 nucleotides in length. Their secondary structure includes four short double-helical elements and three loops (D, anti-codon, and T loops). Further hydrogen bonds mediate the characteristic L-shaped molecular structure. tRNAs have two regions of fundamental functional importance: the anti-codon, which is responsible for specific mRNA codon recognition, and the 3' end, to which the tRNAs corresponding amino acid is attached (by aminoacyl-tRNA synthetases). tRNAs cope with the degeneracy of the genetic code in two manners: having more than one tRNA (with a specific anti-codon) for a particular amino acid; and 'wobble' base-pairing, i.e. permitting non-standard base-pairing at the 3rd anti-codon position. The record is from Rfam by way of RNAcentral. Lineage: Eukaryota; Metazoa; Cnidaria; Anthozoa; Actiniaria; Edwardsiidae.